This 74-nucleotide transfer RNA is filed under the name Acidobacteriota bacterium. Its description in RNAcentral is "tRNA-Glu". It matches the Rfam family "tRNA". Rfam says of the family: Transfer RNA (tRNA) molecules are approximately 80 nucleotides in length. Their secondary structure includes four short double-helical elements and three loops (D, anti-codon, and T loops). Further hydrogen bonds mediate the characteristic L-shaped molecular structure. tRNAs have two regions of fundamental functional importance: the anti-codon, which is responsible for specific mRNA codon recognition, and the 3' end, to which the tRNAs corresponding amino acid is attached (by aminoacyl-tRNA synthetases). tRNAs cope with the degeneracy of the genetic code in two manners: having more than one tRNA (with a specific anti-codon) for a particular amino acid; and 'wobble' base-pairing, i.e. permitting non-standard base-pairing at the 3rd anti-codon position. The record is from RNAcentral. Lineage: Bacteria; Pseudomonadati; Acidobacteriota.
GGGGAUGUAGGCAAAUCGGUUAAGCCACCUGACCUUCAAUCAGGAAACUGCGCGUUCAAGUCGCGUCAUCCCUA